This is a non-coding RNA of Arachis ipaensis, 1284 nucleotides long. NCBI's taxonomy places the organism in Eukaryota, Viridiplantae, Streptophyta, Magnoliopsida, Fabales, Fabaceae. The record is from RefSeq and is a predicted model, not a curated record.
CAGGCACUCGGAGGACUCAGGCCAGAAACUGGACUCUGAUGAGGAAUCACCAACCGUAUAUCCUCAUUAUAUUGACAAGGCAAAGUUCGGGGACCUCAAAUUUGAGGUUAGUAUGAUAUUCAAAUCAAAGGAACAUUUUAUGCAUGCAACUAGGGACUAUACAAUCCAGCUAGGUAGAAACAUAUUGUUUACAAAGAAUGACAAUGUUCGGGUUAAGGCUGUGUGUAAGGCUGAGGGUUGUCUUUGGAUAGUAUACUGUGCACGUAGUAAGCAAGACGGGUCCUGGCAGAUUAAAACCCUCGUUGACAACCAUAUCUGUCCUAGAAGGCAAAAAAAUAGGGCAGCGAUCCAACGGUGGACACUAAGCAAACUUGUACCAAAACUUAGAAAGCACCCUACAAUGAGACAUCGUGAAGUGUAUGAGUGGUUUGUGAGGAAGUGUAAUGUAAACCUCAACAGCACCUGCAUCACUAAAGCAUUGAAAGCUGCUAGGAAAGUGGUAGAGGGGGAUGAAGUUGCCCAGUAUGGGUUAAUCUGGGACUAUGCUAAUGAAUUGCUUACAAGUAAUCCCGGGUCUACAGUUUAAGUUGGUGUAAUCCCAAUGCCAGAGGGUCCUCCUCAAUUUGAGAGCAGCCAGUUGGGUCAAGUACCAAGAUAAAGAGGAAGUACAACCCAAUUAGGUGCAUGUAUUGUGGUGAAGUUGGACACAACAAGAGAAGCUGUGCAAAGAAGAAAAAGGAGGAUGCUGAGGAACAAGCUAGGCAAAUGCAACUUCAGCUUGCCAUUGCUAAAGGGCCUGCUCCUCCUACAGAUGAGCCAAGCAACAACAAUGAAGUUCAAUCACAUUCUCCCCCUUCUCCCCCAGUCCAGCCACAACCUGCGGUGGAAGUCAACCAACCAGGAGAAAACCCACCAAUGCAAGAUACCCAACUGCCUGUUCAAGACCUUCAGAGAGGCAGGUCACCGAAAUUGCAUGUCAUCAAAAGCAAGGCAAGAUCGAAUGCCUACACCCAGUCACCUGUGGCCAUAUCUGUUGAGACAUUGAAAGGAACAACUUCUGCCACUGCAAAGAAGAUGCAAACCUUCAUGACAUUCGUGCCUACUCCAGGCUUCAAGCGUCCAAGAAAGAAAGAUUAAUAUGUUUAACUAGGAAAUAUAUUUUGUAUGUAGUUGUAACUUUGCUUUUUGGGAACAUGGCUCUGUAAACUGGUUAUGUGUUCAGGAUCAUUUAAGUUAGGCCUAGUAGGUUUUUUUGGUUUAAGUGAACAAUGUUGUUUGAACUUA